RNAcentral lists this ribosomal RNA (1530 nucleotides) under Salmonella enterica subsp. enterica serovar Enteritidis. RNAcentral's name for it is "bacterial SSU rRNA". It matches the Rfam family "Bacterial small subunit ribosomal RNA". The record is from RNAcentral. Lineage: Bacteria; Pseudomonadati; Pseudomonadota; Gammaproteobacteria; Enterobacterales; Enterobacteriaceae.
AGAGUUUGAUCAUGGCUCAGAUUGAACGUUGGCGGCAGGCCUAACACAUGCAAGUCGAACGGUAACAGGAAGCAGCUUGCUGCUUUGCUGACGAGUGGCGGACGGGUGAGUAAUGUCUGGGAAACUGCCUGAUGGAGGGGGAUAACUACUGGAAACGGUGGCUAAUACCGCAUAACGUCGCAAGACCAAAGAGGGGGACCUUCGGGCCUCUUGCCAUCAGAUGUGCCCAGAUGGGAUUAGCUUGUUGGUGAGGUAACGGCUCACCAAGGCGACGAUCCCUAGCUGGUCUGAGAGGAUGACCAGCCACACUGGAACUGAGACACGGUCCAGACUCCUACGGGAGGCAGCAGUGGGGAAUAUUGCACAAUGGGCGCAAGCCUGAUGCAGCCAUGCCGCGUGUAUGAAGAAGGCCUUCGGGUUGUAAAGUACUUUCAGCGGGGAGGAAGGUGUUGUGGUUAAUAACCGCAGCAAUUGACGUUACCCGCAGAAGAAGCACCGGCUAACUCCGUGCCAGCAGCCGCGGUAAUACGGAGGGUGCAAGCGUUAAUCGGAAUUACUGGGCGUAAAGCGCACGCAGGCGGUCUGUCAAGUCGGAUGUGAAAUCCCCGGGCUCAACCUGGGAACUGCAUUCGAAACUGGCAGGCUUGAGUCUUGUAGAGGGGGGUAGAAUUCCAGGUGUAGCGGUGAAAUGCGUAGAGAUCUGGAGGAAUACCGGUGGCGAAGGCGGCCCCCUGGACAAAGACUGACGCUCAGGUGCGAAAGCGUGGGGAGCAAACAGGAUUAGAUACCCUGGUAGUCCACGCCGUAAACGAUGUCUACUUGGAGGUUGUGCCCUUGAGGCGUGGCUUCCGGAGCUAACGCGUUAAGUAGACCGCCUGGGGAGUACGGCCGCAAGGUUAAAACUCAAAUGAAUUGACGGGGGCCCGCACAAGCGGUGGAGCAUGUGGUUUAAUUCGAUGCAACGCGAAGAACCUUACCUGGUCUUGACAUCCACAGAAGAAUCCAGAGAUGGAUUUGUGCCUUCGGGAACUGUGAGACAGGUGCUGCAUGGCUGUCGUCAGCUCGUGUUGUGAAAUGUUGGGUUAAGUCCCGCAACGAGCGCAACCCUUAUCCUUUGUUGCCAGCGGUUAGGCCGGGAACUCAAAGGAGACUGCCAGUGAUAAACUGGAGGAAGGUGGGGAUGACGUCAAGUCAUCAUGGCCCUUACGACCAGGGCUACACACGUGCUACAAUGGCGCAUACAAAGAGAAGCGACCUCGCGAGAGCAAGCGGACCUCAUAAAGUGCGUCGUAGUCCGGAUUGGAGUCUGCAACUCGACUCCAUGAAGUCGGAAUCGCUAGUAAUCGUGGAUCAGAAUGCCACGGUGAAUACGUUCCCGGGCCUUGUACACACCGCCCGUCACACCAUGGGAGUGGGUUGCAAAAGAAGUAGGUAGCUUAACCUUCGGGAGGGCGCUUACCACUUUGUGAUUCAUGACUGGGGUGAAGUCGUAACAAGGUAACCGUAGGGGAACCUGCGGUUGGAUCACCU